AUGUUACCUAAAAAACAUCUAUCUGGUUGUGAGAAAAGAAACAACAAGAAAAGAGUAGACAAGUUGAUUAAAUCUCAGGAAGGCGCUAUGGAUAUGUUUGUCUUGAGGACUGGUGCUGCUACAAAUUCAGAGCAAUUAUAUAUAACAAAUGGUGAAGAAAAACCUGAUGAUACUAAGAAUGCCGUUGAGGAAAAUCAUGUCGAGGAAAAUAAUGCUGCGAAAAAUGAUGCUGAUCAGCACACGGAAAAUUUUAGUGACCAUGAGAAUCUUGGAAAUGCAGAUGAGCAGGGUUCUUCUUUUGAUAUAUAUGAUCCUAGAACUUGGAAUAUUCUUGACAAUAAACCAAGAGAUAUUCUCAUUGAAAAAGGACCUAUAAGGGAAUACAAUCUUGAGUUUCCCGAAGAUGAAAUUAGUGGCAGGCAUAUUUCAUAUGAUUACUACACAAGAAAGUUAAGGAAUGGCGAGUUCAGUGAUCGGAGGUGGUUAGUGUACUCUAAACACAUGAAUAAAGUCUACUGCUUUUGUUGCAAAUUGUUUAAAUCUGGAAAAAGCAAAAGUCUGCUAGCAUCCGAGGGAUUGAAGGAUAGACAUCUUAGUGAGAAGCUCCAAUUGCAUGAGAAUAGUGUUGAGCAUAUCACUAACAUGAAUACUUGGAAUGAGGUAAGGCUGAGGCUAAGUAAGAAGGAAACAAUUGAUAAAGACAUGCAACAAGAGAUUGCAAGGGAGAAGGAGCGAUGGAGACUUGUUUUAAUUAGAAUUGUUGCUGCUUUGAAAUUUCUUGCUAAACAUAGUCUGGCUUUUCGAGGAUCGAAUGAGAAAUUAUAUCAAGAUAACAACGGAAAUUUUUUGGGAGUAAUUGAAAUGAUGGCAGAAUUUGAUCCUGUAAUGCAAGAGCAUCUUCGGCGCAUUAAGAAUAGUGAAAUCCAUCUUAUCUUGGCCAUAAUAUUCAAAAUGAGUUAA
RNAcentral lists this ribosomal RNA (960 nucleotides) under Triticum aestivum (bread wheat). RNAcentral describes it as "partial small subunit ribosomal RNA". Lineage: Eukaryota; Viridiplantae; Streptophyta; Magnoliopsida; Poales; Poaceae. The record is from RNAcentral.